CCGACGAUAGCUUAUUUGGUAGAGUAGAGAGCGGUCGAGUACACUGCUGUGCAGCGGUCCUUACUUCGAUGGUUCGAAUCCACCUCGUCGGA
This 92-nucleotide transfer RNA is filed under the name Fasciola hepatica (liver fluke). RNAcentral's name for it is "tRNA-Asp". It matches the Rfam family "tRNA". From Rfam's summary of the family: Transfer RNA (tRNA) molecules are approximately 80 nucleotides in length. Their secondary structure includes four short double-helical elements and three loops (D, anti-codon, and T loops). Further hydrogen bonds mediate the characteristic L-shaped molecular structure. tRNAs have two regions of fundamental functional importance: the anti-codon, which is responsible for specific mRNA codon recognition, and the 3' end, to which the tRNAs corresponding amino acid is attached (by aminoacyl-tRNA synthetases). tRNAs cope with the degeneracy of the genetic code in two manners: having more than one tRNA (with a specific anti-codon) for a particular amino acid; and 'wobble' base-pairing, i.e. permitting non-standard base-pairing at the 3rd anti-codon position. Lineage: Eukaryota; Metazoa; Platyhelminthes; Trematoda; Plagiorchiida; Fasciolidae. The record is from RNAcentral.